UGCCGGGAUAGCUCAGUUGGUUAGAGCAUGGGAUUGAAAAUCCCAGUGUCACCAGUUCGACUCUGGUUCCUGGCAA
RNAcentral lists this transfer RNA (76 nucleotides) under Capsosiphon fulvescens. RNAcentral's name for it is "tRNA-Phe". It matches the Rfam family "tRNA". From Rfam's summary of the family: Transfer RNA (tRNA) molecules are approximately 80 nucleotides in length. Their secondary structure includes four short double-helical elements and three loops (D, anti-codon, and T loops). Further hydrogen bonds mediate the characteristic L-shaped molecular structure. tRNAs have two regions of fundamental functional importance: the anti-codon, which is responsible for specific mRNA codon recognition, and the 3' end, to which the tRNAs corresponding amino acid is attached (by aminoacyl-tRNA synthetases). tRNAs cope with the degeneracy of the genetic code in two manners: having more than one tRNA (with a specific anti-codon) for a particular amino acid; and 'wobble' base-pairing, i.e. permitting non-standard base-pairing at the 3rd anti-codon position. Lineage: Eukaryota; Viridiplantae; Chlorophyta; Ulvophyceae; Ulotrichales; Ulotrichaceae. The record is from RNAcentral.